CCUACGGGGGGCUGCAGUAGGGAAUAUUGGGCAAUGGAGGCAACUCUGACCCAGCCAUGCCGCGUGCAGGAAGACGGCCCUCUGGGUUGUAAACUGCUUUUGAAUGGGAAGAAUGUGUGGCUUGCGAGCUAUAAUGACGGUACCAUUAGAAUAAGCCACGGCUAACUACGUGCCAGCAGCCGCGGUAAUACGUAGGUGGCGAGCGUUAUCCGGAUUUAUUGGGUUUAAAGGGUGCGUAGGCGGCUUAAUAAGUCGGUGGUAAAAGGUAGCAGCUUAACUGUUUUACAUGCCAUCGAUACUGUUGAGCUUGAGUUAUUUGGAGGCAGCUAGAAUUUCCGGUGUAGCGGUGAAAUGCAUAGAUACCGGAAGGAAUACCGAUUGCGAAGGCAGGUUGCUACGAAUAUACUGACGCUGAUGCACGAAAGCGUGGGGAUCAAACAGGAUUAGAUACCCCGGUAGUC
Molecule: ribosomal RNA, 461 nt
Filed under: uncultured Cytophagaceae bacterium
Lineage: Bacteria; Pseudomonadati; Bacteroidota; Cytophagia; Cytophagales; Cytophagaceae
Description: bacterial SSU rRNA
Rfam family: Bacterial small subunit ribosomal RNA
Source: RNAcentral